UGCCAUUGUCAAUUAAGUAAAAAAGAAAGCACAUUAAAAUAUGUAGAAUAAUCAUCAACAGACCAAUAAUAUACUAAUUGACCACCAUAACCCAAAAGUUGAUAGUGGAACACAACAAUAGUUCAUCCCCAAGCCGAGCAGACUAGAAAAAUAGUUUGAACUCACUCAUGAAUUUUUCUAAAUUUGAAUGAUAAUCAUUGAAUUCCCAUCAGUGGCUCAACUUAAUUGACCCACGGAAAAUGUCAAAACCAAUGAAAAAAAAAAAGAUUGGUUCUAUCAUUCAUUAACGCGCCAGAUAUAAUCCUAGAAUGAAUCUGGCUUCCAAUACAGCUCCUCAAUAGACACAUCCACAUA
RNAcentral lists this unclassified non-coding RNA (354 nucleotides) under Hevea brasiliensis (rubber tree). The record is from RNAcentral. Lineage: Eukaryota; Viridiplantae; Streptophyta; Magnoliopsida; Malpighiales; Euphorbiaceae.